Molecule: long non-coding RNA, 705 nt
Organism: Gadus macrocephalus (Pacific cod)
Lineage: Eukaryota; Metazoa; Chordata; Actinopteri; Gadiformes; Gadidae
Exons: 3
Source: RefSeq, a predicted model, not a curated record
GGACAGAGUCUCUGGUUACUAAGCAACCUCAACGUCUUGGCGGACUAUUUCUCUGCUGAUCAACACUACAGACACUACACGAACAGAAAUGGAGGUGGAUCAAAAUAUCAUCGUCGCCGUGUGCGGCCGUCCUGUCCUGUACGACACCACGAUGGUGUCGUACAGGGACAGGAACAAAACAGAGAGGGCGUGGGUCGACGUGGCAGAGGAUAUUGGCGUUCCUGACCAGCCCAGCAGUGAGUCAGACCCAGAGGACGCUGAUGCUGCUCCUGCCCCUGUCCCUGCCGCUGGCCCUUCCUGUGUACCUGUCCCUGAGGCUGCCCCUGCCCCAAGACCACAGGGCGCGACGAAGAGGAAGAGAGCAGCCAGGGUACCGGAGGGGAAUACUGUCCAGACAGCCAUCCUCCAGGCCCUGCAGAGGCAUAAUUCUGUGCCUACCCCUACCCCGCUUUCUGGGAAUGAGCACUUUGCCAUGGGCCUAGUUCCUUCCCUGGAUAGAUUGCCACCUGAAGUACUGGAGUACGUUAAAUUCCAAAUCCAUAAAGUCAUAUUUGACCAUUCUAAUUUCACCGUUCAAUUGGAACCUAUUUAAGCUUAUUAGCUAGUGGUGGUGACAAUCUCUCCAGGGAAAGAACUAGGCUGAUGUCACUGUUAACUGUUCAUUUGUUAUUGUUCUGUUCUGUUUAUAUUAUAUUGUUCUAUGUU